Molecule: ribosomal RNA, 325 nt
Filed under: uncultured bacterium
Lineage: Bacteria
Description: bacterial SSU rRNA
Rfam family: Bacterial small subunit ribosomal RNA
Source: RNAcentral
UGGGGAAUAUUGGGGCAAUGGGGCGAAAGCCUGACCCAGCAACGCCGCGUGAGGGAAGAAGGGUUUCGGCUCGUAAACCUCUGUCCUAUGGGACGAAUGAGAUGACGGUACCAUAGGAGGAAGCCCCGGCUAACUACGUGCCAGCAGCCGCGGUAAUACGUAGGGGGCGAGCGUUGUCCGGAAUGAUUGGGCGUAAAGGGCGCGUAGGCGGCCCGUUAAGUCUGGAGUGAAAGUCCUGCUUUCAAGGUGGGAAUUGCUUUGGAUACUGAUGGGCUGGAGUGCAGGAGAGGAAAGCGGAAUUACCGGUGUAGCGGUGAAAUGCGUA